RNAcentral lists this long non-coding RNA (1356 nucleotides) under Felis catus (domestic cat). Its description in RNAcentral is "lncRNA (ENSFCAG00000050816.1)". The record is from RNAcentral. Lineage: Eukaryota; Metazoa; Chordata; Mammalia; Carnivora; Felidae.
AUGUGCCAAGCACCCGGCCGAGACCUAUCUUUAGCGCGUUCUCAUUUUAAAUGUCAUGACAUACCCCAAGGGAGGAACUGUCCCCAUUUGAUACAGAACCAAAUCUCAACCAGAGAAGGUGGCGUGUCUGGCCCAGGUCGCAGUGCGGGUCACGGCGAUACCAGGGCUCCUAACUCAGGAGCAGGGCUCUCUGUCCGUCGCCCCUCCGCCCGGAAGGAGAGAGCGGAUGGCCACCGCGCCAGCCCCCUACCCUGGCCGGAGCUCACCUGCCACCCACGUGGGCCGCGCGCACCUGCCCCCCACCCCCGCGGGGCCAGCCGAGGCUGCCCCAAAGGCCCGCACUACCUCCCUCGGAUCCCAGCUGUCUCCAAGGGCCCUGGAGCUCCGCACUGCGCCGGCCGGCGGGGGACAGAGGGCCCCGCACGCAAGGCUGGACGCCCACGCCCACCCCGCCACCCGCGCCCCACGCGCAGCCGCUCCCCCAAGCCACCCGCCCCGCACCCGUCCCCACCAGCAACUGCGCCCGGACACACAAUUCCACAAACGCAGCCCAAAAUGUGCACACCCACUGCACACACGGAUCCCCACGAGGACACGCCAUUCCAGGGACACGCCACCGUCCUCGGUCACCCACAACUCCACCACGCAGACAAACCCAGGCACCCCCAACACACACACGCGAGCGCGCGCGCACACACACACACACACACACACACACACACUCACGCACGCAGAGAGCCCGAUCGUAGCUCACGCCAGUGCACACGCCGGCACUCUCCGGAGCCCGCAGCCCCUCGCUGCCCUACCUGCUCCGCAGCAGGACGCGGUCCGCCGGCUUCCCCAGCCCAAGUUCGGCGCCGCGGGCGCUGGGGCAGGCGCGGGCCGCUGCCCGGGACGAGCGCGCCGAGGCCGGGAGGGUGGCUAGGAGCGCGGGCCUCCGUGCGCCCGCAGCCUCCGCGCCGGCCCUGCGUUCAUCGCCUCCCAGAAAAACAAAAGGAAGCCGGCAGCGAGGGAGGGAAAGAGGUGGAGGCGCCCGCCUGUCCGCCGGUCCGCCCGUCCGCCGCCUGCGGUCGCCUCGGCCCGCCUGCCAGCGCCGGGAAGGAAGGGACUCGAAGGCGGGACCCGGAGGCGGGGGCCGGGGGCGGAGCGUGCGGCCGGGGCUGGCGCUCAAGUUUCCAGCGGACCCACCCCCGUCUCGGCCACGCCCCCGUCUUGCCCCCGCCCACCUACCCUGCUCGGGUCGCGCCCCCGUCCCUAGCCACGCCCCUUGCUGGCCCUUCGGCCCGGGGCCUCAGAGCCUUCCGCGCCGGCCCCUCGCGGCCCUUUAGCGCACUCUCCGCCCGGCCUAGGCCUUAA